AAUCGAGCUUCGUUGUCGAAUCAUUUAUAUCUUUCAGAAAUCAGAAACAAAAGAAGAAAAAAAAAUCUGUUCUGUUCUUUCCAAUUUGUUAUCUAGUUUAUCAAAAGAAAUCCCAUCAUAAACUUCGGUGGUCUUUUCUUUUAGAACAAAAUAGUUACAAACGACUAUGAUUCAUCGUAAACACGUUGUCGACGGUGGGGGCAGCUCAGUUCAUUACAUGUGUACAGAAGCUAGAGAAUGAAAUCGAUACCUGUUGAGAUCAGAAAACGGGUAGCCAUUUGUGUGGCGUCAUCGAAUUUGAUUGAUGCACCGUAUUUGCUGCGUUGGGAUCAGCAUAUUCCACAUACAAAAGCAGGUAGUUUACAUACGUGUAAGUUCCGAAACCUCCUUAAUGAAGGCAUUCAAUAUAACCUCAUGCAAUUUUCCAAUCAUCGGUUCGGCCUGACGUUACCCUCGUUUCAUCUUUUACCUUCCUCAUUGUAUAUUGUGAUGGUGUUCAGCACAAUACCACAAGAGAGGGGCGUCAAUGAUGGAAUAAUAAAUGACGUUCAGUCGACACCCGAUCUUUCCUCAUGCAUAAAUUUCCCUGUUUUUUUUUUUCCAUUCAGCCAUUGGGCCUGAAAAUAACAGCUGAUCAAUUUCCAAUACGUUUCCAUAGGAAUAAGUCAUGUGAAUUGGGGUCCAAAAUUUUUUUUUAAACGUUGAUAUUUAAUCACAGCUACUGAUGUGUUUGGGUAUUGUUAAACUCUUGAACCGUACAGAAAGUGUGUUUUAGGAUGGGAUCUGUCUCCUAGAAUGAAAAUUGUAUCACAGUCACGUUCGCCAUUUUGUUUUUUGUUUUCCUCGAUUCUUUUUCCGUUUGUUUUGAAUAAAGAUGCCGCAUUUAAUCUGGUCACGUUUCGUUGAAAUUCAUUGAAGUUUACAUGCAGGAAAUGUAUACGCAUCUUUAUACAAUUUGAAAAAUUUCUCUUGUUGUCUCGUUCCAAGUUAUGCACCAUCACAUCUAUCGGCGACGUCGGGAUUUUCCUUCUCGAGCAAAAAGGUUCUUUUCUUCUUCUUAAGACAGAGAAUAUCAAAAAAUGACAUUCCAAUUUCUUGGACCAACGCAGAGAAAAUGCUCGGCUAUCCGAGCAGACGAUCGCAACUGAACGGGAAAAAAACACGCGGGGAAUGUCACAUUUAUAGAGAAGAAAGAGCGGGAAUUUUAUUUUUUAUUUUUUUCGGUGAUAUGGAAGUCACAAAAACACAUUUUUUCCCAUGGACAAUGAAGGUAAGAAUAAGGGCCAAAGGAAUUUUCGUCUUCCAUUUUUCUUUUUUUUUGUUUCUCAUGUCUCCAAAAUGCAAAAGUUUAAUUGUUUCUUUUUUCUUCUUCUUCUUCUUCUGCUAUGGAGAAGAAGAGAAAAAAAAAUUACUAAAAAUAAGAAAGAGAAAUAAAAAAAAAAAUCGUUUCAAUCGAAACGCAUUCCACGUACGACGGAAUGCGAAGGCCGAUGGAUACAAACGGAAACCAACAUUUCUACUUUGAUUCUUUUUGUCUUGUCCGUUUGAACUCCACCGACGCAAUUAAUAAUUUCUCUCUUGCCCUCCGCUUUUCGUUGACAUCGUGCGGCGGAAGAAUUUUUCAAUAUGUCUUAAAAAACUAUCUUAUGUUCGUAUCUAACUUCUCUUCCGCUUUUCCCAUACUCUCUUUCGUAAAAAAAUCAAAUCAAAUGCUCCAUUUUUCAAGACAUUUCUUUCAUAUUUUUUUUUUUCUGUUUCCGUUUUAUGCUGACAUCAUCGGACACAUUUUGCGUCGACAUAAUUUCCACUGCACACACACGCACACAUUCAAAUUUCAUAAAGUUAAAACUGUACAGUUCACAAUAUUUUUUUCUUCUUUUUUUGUUUUUCUUCUUUUUUUUUUCGGGUUUUUUUGCUUCAAAUUAGAGACCGGAGAGGGCAGCAGCACAUGAACAAAUCAAACACAAAACACACAUACAUACACAUAGACAGAAUUCAUUUAGUAUAGAGAGAGAGAGAAGAAGAAGAGGUAAGAGGAAAAUUCU
Molecule: long non-coding RNA, 2045 nt
Filed under: Daphnia magna
Lineage: Eukaryota; Metazoa; Arthropoda; Branchiopoda; Diplostraca; Daphniidae
Description: uncharacterized LOC116925303, transcript variant X1
Source: RNAcentral